RNAcentral lists this transfer RNA (68 nucleotides) under Geoscapheus crenulatus crenulatus. RNAcentral describes it as "tRNA-Trp". The record is from RNAcentral. RNAcentral also lists the same sequence under 1 other name. Lineage: Eukaryota; Metazoa; Arthropoda; Insecta; Blattodea; Blaberidae.
AAGACUUUAAGUUAAUAAAACUUUUAUCCUUCAAAGCUAAAAAUAAAGAGAAUUAUCUUUAAGUCUUA